This is a long non-coding RNA of Macrosteles quadrilineatus (aster leafhopper), 725 nucleotides long. RefSeq lists it as uncharacterized. Lineage: Eukaryota; Metazoa; Arthropoda; Insecta; Hemiptera; Cicadellidae. The record is from RefSeq and is a predicted model, not a curated record. The transcript is spliced from 5 exons.
CUUGUGGGUAGAGCGAAGAGGUAGAUAAAAAUAAUUGUGUCUGGACCUCCUCUCCCUACUACGGGUGUCCUUUAUCCAAAGUAUCCCUUAAACCUCUUUCCAACCCACUGACAUGAUUUCCUUACUUUUCUUCUCUUCAUCCUGCUAGCUUCCAUAAAGGCAUCGCCAGAGCUGUAUUCGACUACCUAAAUCUCUCCGAUUGUAGCGGGUGAACUUUCCUGAGAAAAUCUCACAGCAAGUAAUUCAACUACUUCCAAGUAUGAACUUCCCGCUUCAAGAAGAUGUUAACAUCAGCUGUCUUUUUUAUCAUUUGCAGGAAUAUCACCGUGGUGUGCUGCUGUCUGCCAAUCGUACCAAAAGCGUAGCAUGGAAUUUAACUCAGCUGUAAAUUCUGCCCCACGUCGGCCACGUCAGGCUCCUUGAACAGUUUCGUCCCUUAAGGUAUAUCACCAUGGUGUGCUGGUGUCUGCCAAUCGUACCAAAAGCGUAGCAUGGGAUUUAAAGCAGCUGUACCCUGCCCCACGUCAGGCUCCUUGAACACUUUUGUCCCUUGAGAUGGAGGGAGAGUACUAGUUGCCGACAUGGACCUGCUCUGUGUCGCCGUCACAGGAACAGUACAAGCUGUGCAGACCGACUCGCCACUCUGAACGACUUUGGAAAGCGAAGAAUUGGCACAUGCUCUGUAUAUUUCUAAUCUUUUUUUGUAUUAAACUCCGUUUACAAAA